ACCACCCACAGAGCCACCAACAGAACCACCCACAGAGCCACCAACAGAACCACCCACAGAGCCACCAACAGGUGAAACCAUUUUAAUUCAGUUUUACUUUGCAAGGUGUAGGACAUUUUUUUUUUGGAACAAUGUAUAUGAGUAUUCUAGUU
Molecule: long non-coding RNA, 152 nt
Organism: Silurus meridionalis
Lineage: Eukaryota; Metazoa; Chordata; Actinopteri; Siluriformes; Siluridae
Exons: 3
Source: RefSeq, a predicted model, not a curated record